AUUCCAGCUCCAAUAGCGUAUACUAAAGUUGUUGCAGUUAGAAAGCUCGUAGUUGAAUUUCUGGAUGUGAAAGGUGGUCGGCACCUCACGGUGUCUGUACUUAUCAUUCGCGUCCAUCCUCGGGAGGAACAUGUGGACACUUAAGUGGGUCUGCUUGGGAAUCUCGUCAUUUACUGUGAGCAAAAUAGAGUGUUCAAAGCAGGCUUAUGCCGUUGAAUAUAUUAGCAUGGAAUAAUAAGAUACGACUUUGGUCUAUUUUGUUGGUUUACAUUCCAAAGUAAUGAUUAAUAGGGAUAGUUGGGGGUAUUCGUAUUCAAUUGUCAGAGGUGAAAUUCUUGGAUUUAUGGAAGACGAACUACUGCGAAAGCAUUUACCAAGGAUGUUUUCAUCG
Molecule: ribosomal RNA, 391 nt
Filed under: Chrysophyceae sp.
Lineage: Eukaryota; Chrysophyceae
Description: partial small subunit ribosomal RNA
Rfam family: Eukaryotic small subunit ribosomal RNA
Source: RNAcentral